CUUCAGCAUGUUAUCCAUCGUGCGGCUGUAGUCGCUUGCCAGGGUGGCCUCGGAGUAGCGUCUCUGCAGAGGUCUGGUGCUGGGAGCCCCUACACUGACGCUGGGGUGCAGCUCCCAGCCUGCUGCGUGCCGUGGACUGACUAUUCCUCUGAAAUAACAGCAUUUCCCUUCGCAACCCAGCACAUCCAUUGCUGCAGAACCAAAGGUACGAGCUGCUCCUGCUCUGCUGCUGCCUGACACGCUCAAACACUGUGCACUCCCACAGCUACCUUAGGAAAGAAAACACGUUCAGAAGGGAGAACGACACAGAGCUUCUUACCUUGCUCCGUCUCUGAGGCUGCCCGGAGGAUCUCAGCUGGUUCUGGUGCUGAGGAGACCCUUCAGAGCUUUUACAUACGUUCGCUGUGCAGGACCAACCCCACUUGCAUGAGGUAAACAGGAAAUCAAGCACCUAAUCUAUGUAAUUCAAACCCAUUUAGAGCUGCUUCAUUAAGUCUAUUGACCCACAGAGCAGGAAAAUAACCUUUUAAAAUAUGUUGACAUUAAUGGCAAUUAAACAUUACUAUAUCACGAAAUCGAGAGCAAA
Molecule: long non-coding RNA, 586 nt
Organism: Pezoporus flaviventris
Lineage: Eukaryota; Metazoa; Chordata; Aves; Psittaciformes; Psittacidae
Exons: 2
Source: RefSeq, a predicted model, not a curated record